AAGAAGGCCUUCGGGUUGUAAAGCACUUUAGGUGGGGAAGAAGGUUGGUAUUUAAGAGAUAACCAAUUUGACGGUACCCGCAGAAUAAGCACCGGCUAACUCUGUGC
Molecule: ribosomal RNA, 107 nt
Filed under: uncultured bacterium
Lineage: Bacteria
Description: partial 16S ribosomal RNA
Rfam family: Bacterial small subunit ribosomal RNA
Source: RNAcentral